UACACCAAUGAAGGCAAAACAUGAUUGGCUCACUGUUACUUGCUUUAAGCACAAGUACUGGCCGUGUAUUGUUUGCUGAAUCCAGCACUACCUCUCGUGCUCGUUUAGUUUUUAACUUACACUAAACCACCCGAUAUAUUCGAAGCAUGCGUAUAACAAGCGAGGAUCGAUGUUAUGUGUUCGAAUCCCACCGCCCAUCUUUCCGGACUUGACUGGUUGGAACCGCAAAGGCUGUAAAGGUAAAGCCACGAUCCACCACUGUCUCUUUUCAAGGCUAAACCAGAAGCAUUGCCUGAUUAAAUGACUUGCUGAGGGUGCCAUAAUUUUGCAAGCAAAGAGUAAGGAGUUCAAAUCCAGGACUACAGCUUGCUGCUCAUUAACUGGUGAUAUCGAACACACAGGCAUGACCUGGGCCAUUUAGGCAAAAAGAAACAGAAGACAAGGGGAUAUGCAAUGAACAAAAAGCAUAUACUUCAAAAGAUAAAGAAACCGUUCAUAAAAAUAGUGCAUUCAAUAAAGACAUUUCAAAGGUCACAAAUUUCAAUGUCUGCUAGAGCAGCUUAAUAAAAGUCAUUACUCUACUGAGAAACAUAGAAUAUACUAAUUUUAUCUUUAUGUUGGUAGUUUUACAUUCCUAAAAAACAGCAAAGAAAUCUGUAUUGAUCUUCAUAAAUUAUUAGUAGUGAUAGGAAUUCAUACUUAUAAGACACACCGUACUGUAUAGGUAAUAUUCAUGUGUACAGCAGGUUGCACUAGAUACAAAUAUAUGUUUGAGUAGCAUUUUGCAUAUGUAACGUUCACAUGUACAGAAAGUUACACCAUAAACAGCUAUGAGCAGGUAAACAAUAUGUCCUAUUCUGAGCAGAUGCACAGCAGGAAAUAGUAACAUUUAGAGUGCACAACAGAAAACUGCUGCCUUAAUGAUAAGACAGUAAGUUUGCCUUAGAAGUCAAGAUCAUGUGAUCUGAUCUGCCCCAGUGACAUUUUAUUGUUUGAACAAGAUCAUAUGAUAUGAUAUGCCCCAGUGAUAUUUCAUUGUUUGAACUUUCAGGACUGUAGUAUACCAAGAUAUUUCUUAUGUGAAAUGGUUACAUUUUCAUAUGUACUUGCAGUUGGUUGAGAACUUUCAGCAUUAGUCAUAUAUACAUUAUUUACAUGCAGCAGCUUAAGGUUGCUUCACUGUAGUUAUGCAGAUGUGGUUAAGGGAAUACCUAUUUCCAUUAAAGUGAACAAGGUAGCAGUCUGAUGUUAUACUUGAAUAGCCCAUGUUUCUAAAACAGGUUAGAGAUGUGUACUUUUCCCUACAGUGUAAAUGUAUGUGCAGCCUGCUCAAAAUCUCUUAAUGACUUCUACUUUCAAGAAAUGUCUGGACAUCAGUAAGUUUGGAAGCUUUUGACCGAUUUACUUAAAAUUAGCAGAAAUGUUUAAUGUUUCGAUCAUCUUGAUGUAACAACUUUGUGUGAACUUUUUGUUUAUACAAUAAAAUG
Molecule: long non-coding RNA, 1487 nt
Organism: Protopterus annectens (West African lungfish)
Lineage: Eukaryota; Metazoa; Chordata; Ceratodontiformes; Protopteridae
Exons: 3
Source: RefSeq, a predicted model, not a curated record